GCCGCCGUGGUGGAACUGGUAGACACGUAGGUCUCAAAAACCUAUGGAGGCAACUCCAUGACGGUUCGACUCCGUCCGGCGGCACCA
This 87-nucleotide transfer RNA is filed under the name Patescibacteria group bacterium. RNAcentral describes it as "tRNA-Leu". It matches the Rfam family "tRNA". From Rfam's summary of the family: Transfer RNA (tRNA) molecules are approximately 80 nucleotides in length. Their secondary structure includes four short double-helical elements and three loops (D, anti-codon, and T loops). Further hydrogen bonds mediate the characteristic L-shaped molecular structure. tRNAs have two regions of fundamental functional importance: the anti-codon, which is responsible for specific mRNA codon recognition, and the 3' end, to which the tRNAs corresponding amino acid is attached (by aminoacyl-tRNA synthetases). tRNAs cope with the degeneracy of the genetic code in two manners: having more than one tRNA (with a specific anti-codon) for a particular amino acid; and 'wobble' base-pairing, i.e. permitting non-standard base-pairing at the 3rd anti-codon position. The record is from RNAcentral.